GUCCUUGCCGUAAACGAUGUAGAUUAGGUAUCAGGGGUGUCGAUCCCCCUGGCGCCGACGUUAACACAUUAAAUCUACCACCUGGGGAGUACGGUCGCAAGACUGAAACUCAAAGAAAUUGACGGGGACCCGCACAAGCGGUGGAGCAUGUGGUUUAAUUCGAGGCUACGCGAAGAACCUUACCCAGGCUUGACAUGUUUAGGACAGUCCAUGAAAGUGGAUCUUCCCGCAAGGGACCUUUACACAGGUGCUGCAUGGCUGUCGU
This 265-nucleotide ribosomal RNA is filed under the name uncultured bacterium. RNAcentral describes it as "partial 16S ribosomal RNA". It matches the Rfam family "Bacterial small subunit ribosomal RNA", at positions 793 to 1055 of the family's 1533-position model. The record is from RNAcentral.